RNAcentral lists this ribosomal RNA (486 nucleotides) under uncultured bacterium. RNAcentral describes it as "partial 16S ribosomal RNA". It matches the Rfam family "Bacterial small subunit ribosomal RNA", at positions 899 to 1397 of the family's 1533-position model. The record is from RNAcentral.
ACUCAAAUGAAUUGACGGGGACCUGCACAAGCGGUGGAGCAUGUGGUUUAAUUCGACAGUAAGCGAGGAACCUUACCAAGGCUUGACAUGUAGCUGCAUCCUCCAGAAAUGGAGGCGCCUUCGAGGGUGCUACACAGGUGCUGCACGGUUGUCGUCAGCUCGUGCCGUGAGGUGUUCACUUAAGUGUGAAAACGAGCGCAACCCCUAUCGUCUGUUACAAGUGUCAGAUGAAACUGCCGGCGUCUAAGCCGGAGGAAGGUGGGGAUGACGUCAAAUCAGCGUGGCUCUUACGCCUUGGGCGACACACGUGCUACAAUGGGAAGUUACAAAGGGACGCCAAGCGGUAACGCGGAGCAAAUCCUGGCAAACCUUCCCCCAGUUCGGAUCGAGGGCUGCAACUCGCCCUCGUGAAGCCGGAAUCGCUAGUAACCGUAGAUCAGCCUCGCUACGGUGAAUACGUUCUCAGGUUUUGCACACACCGCCCGU